UACGUAGGUGGCAAGCGUUAUCCGGAUUUAUUGGGCGUAAAGGGAACGCAGGCGGUCUUUUAAGUCUGAUGUGAAAGCCUUCGGCUUAACCGGAGUAGUGCAUUGGAAACUGGGAGACUUGAGUGCAGAAGAGGAGAGUGGAACUCCAUGUGUAGCGGUGAAAUGCGUAGAUAUAUGGAGGAACUCCAGUGGCGAAAGCGGCUCUCUGGUCUGUAACUGACGCUGAGGUUCGAAAGCGUGGGUAGCAAACAGG
Molecule: ribosomal RNA, 253 nt
Filed under: uncultured bacterium
Lineage: Bacteria
Description: partial 16S ribosomal RNA
Rfam family: Bacterial small subunit ribosomal RNA
Source: RNAcentral